This 594-nucleotide long non-coding RNA is filed under the name Equus asinus (donkey). RNAcentral's name for it is "lncRNA (ENSEASG00005032257.1)". The record is from RNAcentral. Lineage: Eukaryota; Metazoa; Chordata; Mammalia; Perissodactyla; Equidae.
GCAAGUGAGUCUGGCAAUUCGAGCAGGUGGUUCCGGCGUGCUUGGCUGGUGGUUCAGUCAGGUAUGGCAGGUGGUUCUGGUCUGUCCGGGAGAUGGUUCCAGCGUGUCCGCCACGUGGUUCCAGCACGUCGGUGAGGUGGUUCCAGCAAGGCCAUCAGGUGAUUCCAGAGAUUCUGCCAAGUGGUUGUGGCGUAGCCGGCAGGUGAUUUUGGCAUGUCCGGCAGGUCGUUGCGGCGAGUCGAGCAGGUGGUUCCGGCAUGCUUGGCAGGUGCUUCCGGUAUCUUUUGCACGUGGUUCUGGCAUGUCUGAGAGCUGGUUUCGGCAUGCACGGCAGGUGGUUCCGGUCUGUCCGGCAGGUGGUUCAGGCAUGUCCGGCAGGCGUUUUUGCAUGUCUGGUGGUGCUUCCGGGGAGUCGAGGAGGUGGUUCCGGCGUGUCCGGCAGGUGAUUUUGGCAUGUCCGGCAGAUGGUUCUGUGGAGUGGAUCAGGUGGUUCCUGUGUGCUCGACAGGUGGUUCAGGAGGGUCCGGCAGGUCGUUCAGGUCUGUCUGGGAUGUGGUUCCGGUGUCUCAGGCACAUGGUUCUGGCACGUCUGAG